This 528-nucleotide ribosomal RNA is filed under the name Lactiplantibacillus plantarum. Its description in RNAcentral is "bacterial SSU rRNA". It matches the Rfam family "Bacterial small subunit ribosomal RNA", at positions 38 to 529 of the family's 1533-position model. Lineage: Bacteria; Bacillati; Bacillota; Bacilli; Lactobacillales; Lactobacillaceae. The record is from RNAcentral.
GGGGCUGAGGCAGUAUGAAUGACAUACCCGGCGAACGAACUCUGAUAUUGAUUGGUGCUUGAAUCAUGAUUUACAUUUGAGUGAGUGGCGAACUGGUGAGUAACACGUGGGAAACCUGCCCAGAAGCGGGGGAAAACACCUGGAAACAGAUGCUAAUACCGCAUAACAACUUGGACCGCAUGGUCGAGGUUUGAAAGAGGGCUUCGGCUAUCACUUUUGGAUGGUCCCGCGGCGUAUUAGCUAGAGGGGGAGGUAACGGCUCACCAUGGCAAUGAUACGUAGCCGACCUGAGAGGGUAAUCGGCCACAUUGGGACUGAGACACGGCCCAAACUCCUACGGGAGGCAGCAGUAGGGAAUCUUCCACAAUGGACGAAAGUCUGAUGGAGCAACGCGCGUGAGUGAUGAAGGGUUUCGGCUCGUAAAACUCUGUUGUUAAAGAAGAACAUAUCUGAGAGAAAUGUUCAGGUAUUGACGGUAUUUAACCAGAAAGCCACGGCUAACUACGUGCCAGCAGCGCGGUAAUUGUG